This 925-nucleotide ribosomal RNA is filed under the name Salmonella enterica subsp. enterica serovar Lexington. RNAcentral describes it as "partial 23S ribosomal RNA". It matches the Rfam family "Bacterial large subunit ribosomal RNA", at positions 1249 to 2157 of the family's 2925-position model. The record is from RNAcentral. Lineage: Bacteria; Pseudomonadati; Pseudomonadota; Gammaproteobacteria; Enterobacterales; Enterobacteriaceae.
UGUGAAGGUGGCCUGUGAGGGUUGCUGGAGGUAUCAGAAGUGCGAAUGCUGACAUAAGUAACGAUAAAGCGGGUGAAAAGCCCGCUCGCCGGAAGACCAAGGGUUCCUGUCCAACGUUAAUCGGGGCAGGGUGAGUCGACCCCUAAGGCGAGGCCGAAAGGCGUAGUCGAUGGGAAACGGGUUAAUAUUCCCGUACUUGGUGUUACUGCGAAGGGGGGACGGAGAAGGCUAUGUUGGCCGGGCGACGGUUGUCCCGGUUUAAGCGUGUAGGUGUGUGUUCCAGGUAAAUCCGGUUCACUUUAACACUGAGGCGUGACGACGAGGCACUACGGUGCUGAAGCAACAAAUGCCCUGCUUCCAGGAAAAGCCUCUAAGCAUCAGGUAACAUCAAAUCGUACCCCAAACCGACACAGGUGGUCAGGUAGAGAAUACCAAGGCGCUUGAGAGAACUCGGGUGAAGGAACUAGGCAAAAUGGUGCCGUAACUUCGGGAGAAGGCACGCUGACAUGUAGGUGAAGUGAUUUACUCAUGGAGCUGAAGUCAGUCGAAGAUACCAGCUGGCUGCAACUGUUUAUUAAAAACACAGCACUGUGCAAACACGAAAGUGGACGUAUACGGUGUGACGCCUGCCCGGUGCCGGAAGGUUAAUUGAUGGGGUCAGCGCAAGCGAAGCUCCUGAUCGAAGCCCCGGUAAACGGCGGCCGUAACUAUAACGGUCCUAAGGUAGCGAAAUUCCUUGUCGGGUAAGUUCCGACCUGCACGAAUGGCGUAAUGAUGGCCAGGCUGUCUCCACCCGAGACUCAGUGAAAUUGAACUCGCUGUGAAGAUGCAGUGUACCCGCGGCAAGACGGAAAGACCCCGUGAACCUUUACUAUAGCUUGACACUGAACAUUGAGCCUUGAUGUGUAGGAUAGGUGGGAGGCUU